CAGUCGCCGCGGGAAUACGAAGGGUGCAAGCGUUAAUCGGAAUUACUGGGCGUAAAGCGUGCGUAGGCGGUUUGUUAAGUCUGUUGUGAAAUCCCCGGGCUCAACCUGGGAAUGGCAAUGGAUACUGGCAAGCUAGAGUGUGUCAGAGGAUGGUGGAAUUCCCGGUGUAGCGGUGAAAUGCGUAGAGAUCGGGAGGAACAUCAGUGGCGAAGGCGGCCAUCUGGGACAACACUGACGCUGAGGCACGAAAGCGUGGGGAGCAAACAGGAUUAGAUACCCCCGUAGUCCCUGUCUCUUAUAA
RNAcentral lists this ribosomal RNA (301 nucleotides) under uncultured bacterium. Its description in RNAcentral is "partial 16S ribosomal RNA". It matches the Rfam family "Bacterial small subunit ribosomal RNA", at positions 509 to 809 of the family's 1533-position model. The record is from RNAcentral.